UACGUAGGUGGCAAGCGUUGUCCGGAUUUACUGGGCGUAAAGAGCGCGCAGGCGGUCUUGUAAGUCGAAUGUGAAAGCCCCUGGCUCAACCAGGGAGGGUCAUUCGAUACUGCUUGACUCGAAGGCAGGAGAGGGAAGUGGAAUUCCGGGUGUAGUGGUGAAAUGCGUAGAUAUCCGGAGGAACACCAGUGGCGAAGGCGACUUUCUGGCCUGUUCUUGACGCUGAGGCGCGAAAGCUAGGGGAGCAAACGGGAUUAGAAACCCUGGUAGUCC
This 273-nucleotide ribosomal RNA is filed under the name uncultured prokaryote. RNAcentral describes it as "partial 16S ribosomal RNA". It matches the Rfam family "Bacterial small subunit ribosomal RNA", at positions 524 to 796 of the family's 1533-position model. The record is from RNAcentral.